UCCCUAGUGACUCAGUUGGUAAAGAAUCUGCCUGCAAUGCAGGAGACCCAGGUUCAAUCCCUGGGUCAGGAA
RNAcentral lists this transfer RNA (72 nucleotides) under Bos taurus (domestic cattle). It matches the Rfam family "tRNA". Rfam says of the family: Transfer RNA (tRNA) molecules are approximately 80 nucleotides in length. Lineage: Eukaryota; Metazoa; Chordata; Mammalia; Artiodactyla; Bovidae. The record is from Rfam by way of RNAcentral. RNAcentral also lists the same sequence under 3 other names.